GACGAACGCUGGCGGCGUGCCUAACACAUGCAAGUCGAGCGGAGUCAGUAAGAGGAAGUUUUCGGAUGGAAUCUUAUUGAUUUAGCGGCGGACGGGUGAGUAACGCGUGAGCGACCAACCUUGCACAGGGGGAUAACGGACCGAAAGGUUCACUAAUACCGCAUGAGACCACGGUGUUGCAUGACACAGAGGUCAAAGGAGCAAUCCGGUGCAAGACGGGCUCGCGUCCGAUUAGGUAGUUGGAGGGGUAACGGCCCACCAAGCCUAUGAUCGGUAGCCGACCUGAGAGGGUGAUCGGCCACAUUGGAACUGAGAUACGGUCCAAACUCCUACGGGAGGCAGCAGUGGGGAAUAUUGGGCAAUGGGGGAAACCCUGACCCAGCAACGCCGCGUGAAGGAAGAAGGUUUUCGGAUUGUAAACUUCUGUCCUUGGUGAAGAGAAGAAGACGGUAGCCAAGGAGGAAGCCCCGGCUAACUACGUGCCAGCAGCCGCGGUAAGAGUAGUACA
Molecule: ribosomal RNA, 508 nt
Filed under: uncultured bacterium
Lineage: Bacteria
Description: bacterial SSU rRNA
Rfam family: Bacterial small subunit ribosomal RNA
Source: RNAcentral